UCCGAGUUGACCCCGGCAGUCUCCUGUGAGUCCCCAACCCUCCCGAAAGAGGUUGCUGGCAACACAGAACAAGGGUUGCGCUCGUUGCGGGACUUAACCCAACAUCUCACGACACGAGCUGACGACAGCCAUGCAGCACCUGUGUGAUGGCUCCCUUUCGGGCACUCCCGGAUCUCUCCAGGAUUCCAUCCAUGUCAAGGGUAGGUAAGGUUUUUCGCGUUGCAUCGAAUUAAUCCACAUCAUCCACCGCUUGUGCGGGUCCCCGUCAAUUCCUUUGAGUUUUAACCUUGCGGCCGUACUCCCCAGGCGGUCAACUUCACGCGUUAGCUUCGUUACCAAGGAAUUGCUUCCCCGACAACCAGUUGACAUAGUUUAGGGCGUGGACUAC
This 388-nucleotide unclassified non-coding RNA is filed under the name uncultured Gammaproteobacteria bacterium. RNAcentral's name for it is "contains 16S-23S intergenic spacer region". The record is from RNAcentral. Lineage: Bacteria; Pseudomonadati; Pseudomonadota; Gammaproteobacteria.